This 492-nucleotide ribosomal RNA is filed under the name Gleimia europaea. Its description in RNAcentral is "bacterial SSU rRNA". It matches the Rfam family "Bacterial small subunit ribosomal RNA", at positions 35 to 519 of the family's 1533-position model. The record is from RNAcentral. Lineage: Bacteria; Bacillati; Actinomycetota; Actinomycetes; Actinomycetales; Actinomycetaceae.
GCUGGCGGCGUGCUUAAACAUGCAAGUCGAACGGGAUCCAAGGCGCUUUUUGUGUUUUGGUGAGAGUGGCGAACGGGUGAGUAACACGUGAGUAACCUGCCCCCUUCUUUUGGAUAACCGCAUGAAAGUGUGGCUAAUACAGGAUAUUCCAGGCUGGUCGCAUGAUUGGUUUGGGAAAUGGUUUGGUCUGGUGGGGGAUGGGCUCGCGGCCUAUCAGCUUGUUGGUGGGGUGAUGGCCUACCAAGGCGGUGACCGGUAGCCGGCCUGAGAGGGUGGGCGGUCACACUGGGACUGAAAUACCGCCCAAACUCCUACCGGAGGCAGCAGUGGGGGAUUUUGCACAAUGGGCGCAAGCCUGAUGCAACGACCCCCCGUGAGGGAUGAAGGCCUUCGGGUUGUAAACCUCUUUCGCUGGGUUGAAAGGCCAUGCUUUGGGUGUGGUUGAUUUGAACUGGUAAAAAAAUACCGGCUAACUACCUGCCAGCAGCCGGG